UACAGAGGGUGCAAGCGUUGUUCGGAAUUAUUGGGCGUAAAGGGUGCGUAGGUGGCGGGGUAAGUCAGGUGUGAAAUCUCGGAGCUCAACUCCGAAACUGCACUUGAUACUGCCUUGCUCGAGUACUGGAGAGGAGAUUGGAAUUUACGGUGUAGCAGUGAAAUGCGUAGAUAUCGUAAGGAAGACCAGUGGCGAAGGCGAAUCUCUGGACAGUUACUGACACUGAGGCACGAAGGCCAGGGGAGCAAACAGG
This 253-nucleotide ribosomal RNA is filed under the name uncultured bacterium. Its description in RNAcentral is "partial 16S ribosomal RNA". It matches the Rfam family "Bacterial small subunit ribosomal RNA", at positions 524 to 776 of the family's 1533-position model. The record is from RNAcentral.